AUUGGCGUAGCUUUGUGGGCCUUCCUAUGUUUUAUCACAAACUACUGUUUAAAGAAUGUCUACUGCGUGUAACGCAUUUAAAUACAACUUUCAGCAACGGAUCUCUUGGCUCUCGCAUCGAUGAAGAACGCAGCGAAAUGCGAUAAGUAAUGUGAAUUGCAGAAUUCAGUGAAUCAUCGAAUCUUCGAACGCACCUUGCGCUCCUUGGUAUUCCGAGGAGCAUGCCUGUUUGAGUGUCAUGGAAUUCUCAACUCCAUUCGCUUUUGUGAAUGGAGCUUGGACUUGGAGGUUAUUGCCGGACUUUAUUGUUUCGGCUCCUCUUGAAUGCAUUAGCUCGAGCCUUUGUGGAUCAGCUUCGGUGUGAUAAUUGUCUACGCCGUUCUGUGAAGCAUACAUAAUGGGUUUCGGCUUCCAAUCGUCCUUUGCGGGACAAUACACUAUGACCUUUGACCUCAAAUCAGGUAGGGUUACCCGCUGAACUUAAGCAUAUCAAUAAGCGGAGGA
Molecule: ribosomal RNA, 504 nt
Filed under: uncultured fungus
Lineage: Eukaryota; Fungi
Description: eukaryotic LSU rRNA
Rfam family: 5.8S ribosomal RNA (bases 86-239)
Source: RNAcentral